CACUAAGAAGCUAAAAAGGGCCUUAGCGUUAGCCUUUUAAGCUAAAAUCUGGUGACUCCCGCCCACCCUUAGUGA
Molecule: transfer RNA, 75 nt
Filed under: Acropoma japonicum
Lineage: Eukaryota; Metazoa; Chordata; Actinopteri; Acropomatiformes; Acropomatidae
Description: tRNA-Lys
Rfam family: tRNA
About the family: Transfer RNA (tRNA) molecules are approximately 80 nucleotides in length. Their secondary structure includes four short double-helical elements and three loops (D, anti-codon, and T loops).
Source: RNAcentral